GAGUAAAGUGGCGAACGGGUGAGUAACGCGUGGGUAACGUGCCCUUCUGUGGGGGACAACCAGGGGAAACCCUGGCUAAUACCGCAUACGCUCUUCGGAGGAAAGGUUGCCUCUCUACGAUGCAAUCGCGGAAGGAGCGGCCCGCGUCCCAUUAGCUUGUUGGUGGGGUAAUGGCCUACCAAGGCGACGAUGGGUAGCCGGCCUGAGAGGGUGAUCGGCCACACUGGGACUGAGACACGGCCCAGACUCCUACGGGAGGCUGCAGUGGGGAAUUUUGCGCAAUGAGCGAAAGCUUGACGCAGCGACGCCGCGUGCGGGAUGAAGGCCUUCGGGUCGUAAACCGCUGUCGCGAGGGACGAACAACCGACGGAUGAAUAAGUCGUCGGCCUGACGGUACCUCGUGAGAAAGCCCCGGCUAACUACGUGCCAGCAGCCGCGGUAAUACGUA
Molecule: ribosomal RNA, 448 nt
Filed under: uncultured bacterium
Lineage: Bacteria
Description: bacterial SSU rRNA
Rfam family: Bacterial small subunit ribosomal RNA
Source: RNAcentral